RNAcentral lists this ribosomal RNA (253 nucleotides) under uncultured bacterium. RNAcentral describes it as "partial 16S ribosomal RNA". It matches the Rfam family "Bacterial small subunit ribosomal RNA", at positions 524 to 776 of the family's 1533-position model. The record is from RNAcentral.
UACGGAGGGUGCAAGCGUUGCUCGGAAUCACUGGGCGUAAAGCGACCGCAGGCGGCCUGACAAGUCGGAUGCGAAAGCCCUGGGCUCAACUCAGGAAUUGCAUUCGAAACUGGUAGGCUCGAGUACGGGAGAGGGGGGUGGAAUUCCUGGUGUAGGGGUGAAAUUCGUUGAUAUCAGGAGGAACACCGGCGGCGAAGGCGGCCCCCUGGCCCGCAACUGACGCUCAUGGUCGAAAGCGUGGGGAGCAAACAGG